GCUUAUGGCCAUACCACCCUGAGCACGCCUGAUCUCGUCUGUUCUCGGAAGCUAAGCAGGGUCGAGCCUGGUUAGUACUUGGAUGGGAGACCGCCUGGGAAUACCAGGUGCUGUAAGCU
Molecule: ribosomal RNA, 119 nt
Filed under: Betta splendens (Siamese fighting fish)
Lineage: Eukaryota; Metazoa; Chordata; Actinopteri; Anabantiformes; Osphronemidae
Source: RNAcentral